Molecule: ribosomal RNA, 675 nt
Filed under: Triticum aestivum (bread wheat)
Lineage: Eukaryota; Viridiplantae; Streptophyta; Magnoliopsida; Poales; Poaceae
Description: partial small subunit ribosomal RNA
Source: RNAcentral
AUGGGAGCCAUCGACAAGGAAUACGGCAAUCUGGAGGAGCAUCCAUGCGUGGUGGCGUUCGCGGCGAUUCUGUGCCUAUUGCUCUUCGGCUUCACAAUGCACGACAUGAAACGGCCCGAAUACUUGCCGGAGUUCUGGGUGAAACUGCCCGCCGUUGAGGGGCUCGAACGGGGCACCGGCGCGUCGCGGCCCCCCACCUUCAACAUCACCCUCCGCGUCAACAACCGAGACAGCGAGCCCUGGCACUUCAAGGGGCCGGGCCGCGUCGUGGUGGCGUACGCGGGCGUGCCGCUCGCCCACGCUGACCUUGCCGAGUUCACCGUGCCGGGGGAGGUCAUCAGCUCGGUGCCCAUCGUCGCCACCAGCGAGGGGCUGGGGCUGCCCAACGAGCUGUACGACCGCAUGCAGAGCCAGCGGCGGCGGAGAGAGCGCGUGAAGCUGGCGAUGCACGUGACGCUGGAUGGUGCCGAUCGGCUAGCAGCAGGCCUAAUCGGCCCACAGAAGGCCGAUCGGCUAGCAGCAGGCCGACUGCAGGCCCGGCUGGCACGCGGCGGCCUGUGGUUGGUCGGGCCACGUCGCGCGAGGGGGAGGCAGUGGGCUGUCGGCUUGUGCGCCCCUGUCGGCCUACCGCCCGCCGAUCGGCCAGCUGCUGGCCGACAGGGGGCUGCCACCUGA